UACGGAGGGUGCAAACGUUGCUCGGAAUCAUUGGGCGUAAAGCGAACGUAGGCGGCUUUGUAAGUCGGGUGUGAAAGCCCUCGGCUCAACUGGGGAGGGUCACGCGAUACUGAUCGACUCGAAGGCAGGAGAGGGUAGUGGAAUUCCCGGUGUAGUGGUGAAAUGCGUAGAUAUCGGGAGGAACACCAGUGGCGAAGGCGACUACCUGGCCUGUUCUUGACGCUGAGGCGCGAAAGCUAGGGGAGCAAACGGG
RNAcentral lists this ribosomal RNA (253 nucleotides) under uncultured bacterium. RNAcentral's name for it is "partial 16S ribosomal RNA". It matches the Rfam family "Bacterial small subunit ribosomal RNA", at positions 524 to 776 of the family's 1533-position model. The record is from RNAcentral.